AUUGAACGCUGGCGGCAUGCUUUACACAUGCAAGUCGAACGGCAGCACGGGGCAACCUGGUGGCGAGUGGCGAACGGGUGAGUAAUACAUCGGAACGUGCCCAAUCGUGGGGGGAUAACGUAGCGAAAGUUACGCUAAUACCGCAUACGAUCUACGGAUGAAAGCGGGGGAUCGCAAGACCUCGCGCGAAUGGAGCGGCCGAUGUCAGAUUAGGUAGUUGGUGGGGUAAAGGCUCACCAAGCCGACGAUCUGUAGCUGGUCUGAGAGGACGACCAGCCACACUGGGACUGAGACACGGCCCAGACUCCUACGGGAGGCAGCAGUGGGGAAUUUUGGACAAUGGGCGCAAGCCUGAUCCAGCCAUGCCGCGUGCGGGGAAGAA
This 382-nucleotide ribosomal RNA is filed under the name uncultured bacterium. Its description in RNAcentral is "bacterial SSU rRNA". It matches the Rfam family "Bacterial small subunit ribosomal RNA", at positions 29 to 412 of the family's 1533-position model. The record is from RNAcentral.